GGAUAUGAAGCAAUACUGCUGAGAGAUGUCCAUUAACGAUCCUGCUGAAUAGACUUAUGCUUAGUCACUGUUUCUCCCUCGCCAUUCCAAGUGUGUCCUUCCUAAAGCUACACAAAACACUCAAAUAAGAUGACCUAUCAUCCAGUUAGAAGAGGACUGGGUUUUUUUGGUUGAAGGUGUAUGAUAGUUGCACUUCCCUGCUAGAACCUCCAGACAAAAAUAAGGAUUUCUAACACUAUACUUAACAGUUUGUUUGUGGCUUAAGAAGGGGAACUAGCUAAUUUAGAAUUCUGGUCAUUCCAGUUGUGGGGACCAUUACCU
This is an unclassified non-coding RNA of Cricetulus griseus (Chinese hamster), 321 nucleotides long. Its record names the gene 7SK. It matches the Rfam family "7SK RNA". Rfam says of the family: 7SK was discovered as an abundant small nuclear RNA in the mid-70s but a possible function has only recently been suggested. NCBI's taxonomy places the organism in Eukaryota, Metazoa, Chordata, Mammalia, Rodentia, Cricetidae. The record is from Ensembl.